CAGACUGCGAAAAGCCUAGACUGCUGGAAGACAACAUUUGCCGAAAACAUCACUUUAAAAACAUUCUCUUUCAUUUGACCACUGAACAAAGAUCUACAAAAGGCCUAUGUGAUGACAGUGUGGAUUAUUCGAGUGAAAUUUGGCCAGCUAUAGAGAAACCUCUCCUCCCUCUCAAUGGACACCUCAUUGACCAUUAUCCCAGCUCACAACUGCCAGUCCAGCAGAAAGUCACUUUGUUGGACACUGCUGUCAUGAUGAUGAGUUGUAAAGCUUCUUCAAACAGGCCAGGAAAGUCCUGAGCAUGGAGGCUAACAAAGGCCCAUCAGUUCUGGAUCACAUGGAACUCAACUUGUCCUAUGGAGGGCUGCACCUCACAUACAGAGAACAGUACCCAUCAGCACCCCAUCUACAUCCAGCCACCUCACUAAUUUGUAGUCUGGACGAGUCAGCGCUAAGUGGCGAAAGUCAUAGCCAGUCUGCAGAUUUUGGGCAGCGUUUUUUGAAGAUUUCACAGAAAAUCACGUGGUAAAUGACAGGCACAAACUCCGAAUUUUUGGUGUCAAUUUGCAAGAUUCCGUUCAGACGGAGGAUAUCGAACAUAUUUUGAGACGAUUUAAGAUUGUUUUUAAUUGUGACGCGUCUCUUCGCAACGAGGCGCGUGUUUCUCCUCUUCCCACCCACGCAAGGAGUGUUUGUUUCCUGGAAAAUGAAACCAACAUAUCCAGCAGAGCUUUGUGAAACCGAAACUCGAAACUCAGUGAAGUUGUUGGUUAACACACUAUUUGCUGAAAUCAUCCCGUUUUUAUUCCCACCGAACAAAGUUCUACCUUCCAUUUGACCACUGGACAAAGAUUUAGUGUGGAUAAUUCUGGUGAAUUUUUGAAAAAAUGAUCUCCUCCCUCUGCGCCGCCUCAGUGGACUAUUCAUUCUCUUACCCCAGCUUUCAACCCAACACAGAAAGCAUAAUGUCAGUGAUGCAUGAACUGAAGACAAAGAACAUUGCAGACAGAAACCUUUUCUCCAACUUGGACUUUGCUGAGAGAUUCUUUAGAAACCAUCCUCUAAAACUGUCCUCCAAAUUAUUAGUCAAAGGAAAUUACUCUUGUGUACAAAUGGGUCAGAAUAACAACCAAGUUGUUACUGUAACAUCAGAAAACAAUCAAACCUAUGUCAAUGUCUGUGUCCAUGAUCAAGCUGAGAAAACAAUUACAAGUUCUUUAAUUGCGUCCAGGCACUUUUUCAACCACUCCUGCCAGGAUGAGAUUAAAUCCUGUUUUACACAGGCUCACGAAGCUGUAGCUAAAGAGGGUCUGACAAGAUUACACAUCACAUGCAGCAGGUUCUCAGUAACAUACACCACCCGAUAUAGAGGUCCAUGCGCAACCGUGGAAACUAAAUGUCAGUUAAAGCUAGAGAACCUCACUGCUGAGGGUUUACUGAACAAAAAAGUCUGGCUGCAGAAAGAGAAGCCCACAUGUCAUGGGUUGAUAGCAUGUCUAGACCAUCUCAUAAAGCAAUACCUGACCAAAAGCAGUUCUUUUUAUUACUCCUAUAGGUUCAUCAUACAUGCAGACAAAGAAAUAAUCAGAAUCACUUCAGGUGAAGAAAAAGAAAGAGAAUGUGUUUUGAUACAUGAUAAUGAAGGGGUCUCCAUGUUUCCUCCAACAUUGCAAUAAAAGUUAUGACAGCACUCCACUGCAACAUAUUCUGUGGAAAUAUCUUCACAUGCAUUUAAAUUAAAUCAUAUCAUCUUAUACCUAAUCACAUAUUCAUUACUAAUUAUAGAUUAAUUGAAAAUAUUUGCUCUCAAAAAAUAAAUCAUACAAUGGCAUUACCUUUGGAGUACAAUACAACAUACAGUAUGUAAUUUUUGUUUGUUUAUUUGUUUUUUGUGGCAAGCAAAUGUUUUUAUAGAUUUAUAUUUGCAUGAUUUCCUACACUGACAAAAAUGUGGUAGAUUCUGUCAUUCACUACUCAGAUUAUUGUUGACAUUCUUUAUAUCGUAAAAAUAGACUAUAUGUGAAUAAACAACUUCAUUAUUUGUAGUUCUUUAUCCUGCAUGUAUUUUGCCUUGGUUUUUAUAAGUUAAAGUUGAUCAUCCAGCCCGAUCUCACAGCAAUUCAUACAUAUUUUACAAGGUGGCUAAUUUGUACGAAUUUGUGAUCAUCAGAUAUGGUGUAUAUCAAUGUAAAAAAAACAAAACACUAAAUUUAAAGCAUAAUAAAACUGUAUAAAACA
Cyprinus carpio (common carp) is the source of this 2238-nucleotide long non-coding RNA. RefSeq lists it as uncharacterized. NCBI's taxonomy places the organism in Eukaryota, Metazoa, Chordata, Actinopteri, Cypriniformes, Cyprinidae. The record is from RefSeq and is a predicted model, not a curated record.